This 253-nucleotide ribosomal RNA is filed under the name uncultured bacterium. RNAcentral describes it as "partial 16S ribosomal RNA". It matches the Rfam family "Bacterial small subunit ribosomal RNA", at positions 524 to 776 of the family's 1533-position model. The record is from RNAcentral.
UACGUAGGUGGCGAGCGUUGUCCGGAUUUACUGGGCGUAAAGGGAGCGUAGGCGGAUUUUUAAGUGAGAUGUGAAAUACUCGGGCUCAACUUGAGUGCUGCAUUUCAAACUGGAAGUCUAGAGUGCAGGAGAGGAGAAUGGAAUUCCUAGUGUAGCGAUGAAAUGCGUAGAGAUUAGGAAGAACACCAGUGGCGAAGGCGAUUCUCUGGACUGUAACUGACGCUGAGGCUCGAAAGCGUGGGGAGCAAACAGG